GAUAAUAAAAUAAGGAAAUACGAAAAAUAAAAUAAAAUAAAAACAGAUUCGAAAAUGCAAAAAUAAAUUUAAGAAAAUAAAAUAAAUGGAUAAAUAAAAUAUUAGUUAAGCUUAGCCUUAGCCUCAGUCUACUCCAAUCUUGAAUCGAUUCUUGAAAUAGAUUUUCCUUUCCAAGCGAUAAGCUAGUUAUAGCAAUCGAGGAUCCCUCAAACC
RNAcentral lists this long non-coding RNA (213 nucleotides) under Gossypium raimondii (Peruvian cotton). RNAcentral describes it as "long non-coding RNA (GRAI_LNC000636)". Lineage: Eukaryota; Viridiplantae; Streptophyta; Magnoliopsida; Malvales; Malvaceae. The record is from RNAcentral.